RNAcentral lists this ribosomal RNA (403 nucleotides) under Verrucomicrobiota bacterium. RNAcentral describes it as "Verrucomicrobia bacterium partial 16S ribosomal RNA". It matches the Rfam family "Bacterial small subunit ribosomal RNA", at positions 355 to 776 of the family's 1533-position model. The record is from RNAcentral. Lineage: Bacteria; Pseudomonadati; Verrucomicrobiota.
UGGGGAAUAUUGCACAAUGGGCGCAAGCCUGAUGCAGCAACGCCGCGUGAACGAUGAAGGCCUUCGGAUCGUAAAGUUCUGUUGCAGGGGAAGAUAAUGACGGUACCUUGUGAGGAAGCCCCGGCUAACUACGUCCCAGCAGCCGCGGUAAUACGUAGGGGGCUAGCGUUAUCCGGAUUUACUGGGCGUAAAGGGUGCGUAGGUGGUCUUUCAAGUCGGUGGUUAAAGGCUACGGCUCAACCGUAGUUAGCCUCCGAAACUGGAAGACUUGAGUGCAGGAGAGGAAAGUGGAAUUCCCGGUGUAGCGGUGAAAUGCGUAGAUAUUGGGAGGAACACCAGUAGCGAAGGCGGCUUUCUGGACUGCAACUGACACUGAGGCACGAAAGCGUGGGUAGCAAACAGG